UCCCAUGUCUAGGGGUGUUCCGCAAUAUGCGAAACUGAGAAAUUUACCCUUUGAACCUGAUCGGGACAAUACCCGCGUAGGAAAUGACGAUGAACCCACCC
RNAcentral lists this non-coding RNA (101 nucleotides) under Gammaproteobacteria bacterium. Its description in RNAcentral is "TPP sequence". It matches the Rfam family "TPP riboswitch aptamer (THI element)". From Rfam's summary of the family: Vitamin B(1) in its active form thiamin pyrophosphate (TPP) is an essential coenzyme that is synthesised by coupling of pyrimidine and thiazole moieties in bacteria. The previously detected thiamin-regulatory element, thi box was extended, resulting in a new, highly conserved RNA secondary structure, the THI element, which is widely distributed in eubacteria and also occurs in some archaea. Lineage: Bacteria; Pseudomonadati; Pseudomonadota; Gammaproteobacteria. The record is from RNAcentral.